This 811-nucleotide long non-coding RNA is filed under the name Homo sapiens (human). Its description in RNAcentral is "HSALNT0231679". The record is from RNAcentral. Lineage: Eukaryota; Metazoa; Chordata; Mammalia; Primates; Hominidae.
ACUGGGGGAAAGUCUGACUCCUGAGAUCCUUGUUGCUCUUGACAAAAAUUGCAAACUCUUUCCAUUCCGGUUUUUAUUCAUAAUCCUCAUACACGGAACCAGCAUGUCAGUGCAUCCAGGGUCUUCCAGAGCCCCCUGGAAUCUGAUGUUUCUCUUCUCAGCAUUAACCAGGCAGUCAGCUGUCUGACUGCAGGCGUAUUGAACCCUGAGCUUGGCUAUGAUGCCCUUUUAGUGGGGACACAGACUAAUCUUUUGGCUUAUGAUGUCUACAAUAAUUCGGAUUUGUUCUACAGAGAGGUAGCAGAUGGGGCAAAUGCAAUUGUGCUGGGGACAUUGGGAGACAUUUCUUCCCCUCUUGCGAUUAUUGGUGGCAAUUGUGCUCUGCAAGGUUUCAAUCAUGAAGGAAGUGAUCUCUUUUGGACGGUUACUGGAGACAAUGUUAAUUCCUUGGCCUUGUGUGACUUUGAUGGUGAUGGAAAGAAAGAGCUUCUUGUUGGAUCUGAGGAUUUUGAUAUCCGAGUUUUUAAGGAAGAUGAGAUUGUGGCAGAAAUGACAGAAACAGAGAUAGUCACCUCUCUUUGUCCCAUGUAUGGCAGUCGAUUUGGUUAUGCCCUUUCCAAUGGCACAGUUGGAGUUUAUGACAAAACAUCCCGAUACUGGAGAAUUAAAGUUAGUAUAAUUUAGCCUUUGAUAUUCAGGCGCUUGAUAGUUAUUGUGAGACUUCUGUGCUAAUUAUUAAAAUUCUUUUUCAGUCGAAAAAUCAUGCCAUGAGCAUUCAUGCUUUUGACCUUAAUUCUGAUGGAGUGAAUGA